Molecule: long non-coding RNA, 1955 nt
Organism: Mytilus californianus (California mussel)
Lineage: Eukaryota; Metazoa; Mollusca; Bivalvia; Mytilida; Mytilidae
Exons: 3
Source: RefSeq, a predicted model, not a curated record
UAUCCCAAGGAUAUGUCAUAUUUCCCCUAACACCUCCUUUAUCCCAAGAUUAUGUCAUAUUUCCCAUAACACCUCAUUUAUUCCAAGAUUAUGUCAUAUUUCCCCAUAAACACCUCCUUUAUCCCAAAAUUAUGUCAUAUUUCCCCUAACAUCUCCUUUAUCCCAAUGUUAUAUGUCAUAGCUCCCCUAACAUCUCUUCUAUCCCAAGAUUAUGUCAUAUUUCCCCUAACAUCUCCUUUAUCCCAAGGUUAUGUCAUAUUUCCUCAACACCUCCUUUAUCCCAAGAUUAUGUCAUAUUUCCCUUAACAUCUCCUUUAUCCCAAGAUUAUGUCAUAUUUCCCCUCAACACCUCCUUUAUCCAAAUAUUAUGUCAUAUUUCCCCUAACACCUCCUUUAUCCCAAUGUUAUAUGUCAUAUCUCCCCUAACAUCUCUUCUAUCCCAAGAUUAUGUCAUAUUUCCCCUAACACCUCCUUUAUCCCAAGGUUAUGUAGUAUUUCCCCUAACACCUCUUUUAUCCCAAGAUUAUGUCAUAUUUCCCCUAACAUCUCCUUUAUCCCAAUGUUAUAUGUCAUAUCUCCCCUAACAUCUCUUCAAUCCCAAGAUUAUGUCAUAUUUCCCCUCAACACCUCCUUUAUCCAAAGAUUAUGUCAUAUUUCCCCCAACACCUCCUUUAUCCCAAGAUUAUGUAAUACUUCCGCUCAACACCUCCUUUAUCCCAAGGUUAUCUCAUAUUUCCCCUAACAUCUCCUUUAUCCCAAGAUUAUGUCAUAUUUCCCCUAACACCUCCUUUAUCCCAAGGUUAUGUCAUAUUUCCCCUAACAUCUCCUUUAUCCCAAGGUUAUGUCAUAUUUCCCCUACCAUCUCCUUUAUCCUAAGGUUAUAUAUCAUAUCUCCCCUAACAUCUCCUCUAUCCCAAGAUUAUGUCAUAUUUCCCCCAACACCUCCUUUAUCCCAAGAUUAUGUCAUAUUUCCCCUCAACACCUCCUUUAUCCCAAGGUCAUAUUUCACCUCAAAUACCACUUUCCUGAGAAGUUCUCCCCAUUUAAUAACAUCUACACACAUGGUUUUUUUCAGGUAUAUAAUCUUCUUAAUUAAACUACAAGUGUUCUUUAAUGCACCAAGAAAGUGCAUUGAUCUAUAGUGUAUUAAUGAAGUCAAAGUAUUAAUUAGUAACUGUUUAAUCAAUGACUCCUUCCAAGCAUUCACCAGUUUCUGUUGCAUUGAUUAGAAACGUCUUCCUAUAUUAUAAUGUGAUAGUGACUGAUUUUAUAACUCAAUAAAUGUGUUAGGCAAAUAGGUGGUUAUGUUUUUAUCUAUAUUGUACAGGGUAAUGUUAUAAAAUGAGUGUUUAUUAUUCCCAAAGGAACAAUUACUUUGGGUUCUAUGGAACACAGAUUACAGGAAAGGUUAGGGAAUUAAAUGCAGUUCACAGAAUUAUAUGUAGUCCACGAAACAAACUUACAUAUUACUGGUUGUUAGAAUAUUCUAAACCUUACAGAGGCACUGUGGAUGUAUUAGCCAAGUCCUGUUGGUUUUGUUUUUUAUUAAGAAAACCCCAACCCUAAACUUGUGUCAUAUUGGGGUCUUCAUUAAGCAGUCUUUAGAACUGAGUGGGUCAGAUCCAUGUCAGACAAGUUUAUGAUUGUGUAUUUUUAUACAAAUUUGUAAAUUCAACUCUUUCUUAAAAAUAUGUUCUAUUGUAUUGUAUUGCAUUGUAUUGUAUUUAAUUGUAUCAUUGUUUGUUUGUAUUGCUUGACUCUUAUGGGUGUAAUUUUGCAAUAAAUAUUUAAACUAAUAUGUUUUUUUUUUAGAGGGGGAGGGUUCUUGAUGAGGACUUUAAGUUUGAAUAAAUGAAAAAUCAAAAUUUUACCAAAUAUUUCAAUCUUUUACUAGUAAUUGCUGCUGUGACUAUGACCUCUUUCCAAAACCAAGUGAAUUUAAAAUCAACAGCAAU